This is a small nuclear RNA of Sorex fumeus (smoky shrew), 196 nucleotides long. RefSeq annotates it as U2 spliceosomal RNA. The transcript has a single exon. The record is from RefSeq and is a predicted model, not a curated record. Lineage: Eukaryota; Metazoa; Chordata; Mammalia; Eulipotyphla; Soricidae.
GUUACUUCUCUGCUUUUUGGCAAAGAUCAAGUGUUGCAUCUAUUAUGUUCAGUUUUAAUAUCUGAUAUGUCCUCUAUCUGAGGACAAUAUGUUAAAUUGGGGGAUUUUUGGAUUAGGGAGUUGGAAUAGGAGCUUGCUCCAUACACUCCAUGCAUCAUCCUGGUAUCACAGUACCUCCAGGAAUGGUGCACCUCCC